Molecule: ribosomal RNA, 255 nt
Filed under: uncultured bacterium
Lineage: Bacteria
Description: partial 16S ribosomal RNA
Rfam family: Bacterial small subunit ribosomal RNA
Source: RNAcentral
UACGUAGGGCGCAAGCGUUGUCCGGAAUUAUUGGGCGUAAAGAGCUCGUAGGCGGUUUGUCGCGUCUGGUGUGAAAACUCGAGGCUCAACCUCGAGCUUGCAUCGGGUACGGGCAGACUAGAGCGCGAGAGAGGAGGGUGGAAUUCCUGGUGUAGCGGUGAAAUGCGUAGAUAUCAGGAGGAACACCGGCGGCGAAAGGCGGCCCUCUGGCUCGUUGCUGACGCUGAAACGCGAAAGCGUGGGGAGCAAACAGGG